AGUGGGAUAGUUGAGUCAAAUGUUAGUUUCAUUCCAAGUUUUCUGAGUGAUCUCCACACUGCUUUCCAGAGUGGUUGUACCAAUUUGCAGUCCCACCAGCAAU
Molecule: microRNA precursor, 103 nt
Filed under: Marmota monax (woodchuck)
Lineage: Eukaryota; Metazoa; Chordata; Mammalia; Rodentia; Sciuridae
Source: RNAcentral